UGCGCGGUGUGCGCUGUGGCGGCCGAGCCGGGGGAGCCGAUCAGCGUCGCGGCGGCGGCAGCUGGAGACAAAGCGCCCGACUAAUGAAUGGGACGGUCCUGCCUGACCCUUCCCUUUAACUCCUUCGGGUCCGGCCGGGCGGCGGUCACUAGCGGCCUCCCGCUUCCGCGGCGGCUGACCGGUAAGGUAGACUCCUCAGCAUCAAUUUUGAAUAGCAUGUAUUGAACCUGAAAUGAAGCCAGUGGAACUCAGUGGAGCAGAUAUAUGGUGUGAAAGGAUCAUAAUUACCUAAUCAACAGAAUGGCUUCCUUGAUGAAGAAAAGAGAACAUUUAGUUCAUAGGCUUAUGUCUACAACAUGAAGUAUUUAACAGUAGCUGUCUUUGAGAAAUUAAUUUGUGACCUGAGAUCUCCUGGUCCCGGAAAGAAAUUGAGAUUUUACAAAUUAGAGCUAUAAUUUUUCAGUACAUUUUUUUGUGACUAAUGAUAUUUAAAUUUGCACAACAAAAAUAUAGAAUACAAAACCCAAGGGUUAUACUGAUACAUUUUUUGUUUUUGCAUUACACAGGAUAUAUCAUUUAAAUUAAAUUUUAAAUCAUCUUUACUUUUUAUUUAUUUCUUAAUACAUGAAGACUCA
RNAcentral lists this long non-coding RNA (635 nucleotides) under Gopherus agassizii (Agassiz's desert tortoise). Its description in RNAcentral is "lncRNA (ENSGAGG00000020131.1)". Lineage: Eukaryota; Metazoa; Chordata; Testudines; Testudinidae. The record is from RNAcentral.